GUGAUGCACAGACGUGUCGAAUCGUACAGUUGAUAAUCAAUCCAGCAGGUACACUGUGAUUGCGAAGUGCAGGCAGAGUAAGUGUCCUGAAUGGAACAUUCAGCAUCGAUCUUCCUGUGGGGGUGUCUGUGUGUGUGUUUUUUUUCUGUCGAACAACAUUUAAUCCAACGAAAGUGAAAUGUGUUAAAGGACUACUCAGUGCUAGUGUAAAUACAUAUCUUACCAGCAACGUUUCUUGUGUUACCAACAAGGCGCAUGAUGGAGACCGUCUUAAAAUGCGUUACCAUUGCAACGUUUCUAUUACUGCGGUACAUACCAGUGGCUGCAGAGUGUCCGCAGUCCUGUACGUGCCGGAGUGGCGAGAUAAAAUGUCGGAGAGCUUCACUGACAACAGUACCCAGCAACUUAAAUACUAACACAGUUGUAAUCGAUCUAUCGUUCAACAGCAUAUCGAUACUCACCAACAGUGUCUUCGACAACACGCCUCAUCUGAAGACUAUUGUCGUAAGUGACAACGGUAUUAAAAUGGUGGAACCAGAAGUGUUUAACGGCUUACAGGACCUAAGAGAAAUAGAUCUACAUAACAAUAAUAUUGAUUAUAUCCAUCCAAGCCUUUUCCAAAACAAUCCUAACCUUUCAAUGUUGGAUCUUAGUUGUAAUGAUUUAGAACAUUUAUGGCUUGAUUUUAGCUACAAUACUGAACUAAAGUUUUUGAAUUUAAGUGUAAAUAUGCUUAAAUUUGAAGACCUAGCCAUUUUCCGUCCUCUGAUAUCUCUGCAAGUGCUAGAUCUAUCAAAUAAUCAAAUGGAAAACAUGAGUGGUGAAGUCUUUGAUGGGAUGGUGGAUCUGAAAUAUCUCAAUGUAUCGGGUAACCCACAGUUGGAAUAUGACUGCCGCUUGAGAACAUUGUGGACUUUGUGUUACAAGCAGAACAUAACUUGCAUUACUGAUGACCAGCAGUCAUUCAAAAUGGUUGACAAUCUACACUGUGAUACUGAAGAACAGCUAAUAACCAUGUCUUUAAUUGAUGAAACAGAUGGGUUUAUAACAACCAGCGAAAAUAGCAUUGAAGGUAGCGUGGAAGAGGGCAGUGGCAUGGAAUCUACGGAGAUAAUUGAGGAUAAUGGGACAAAAGAAUUUAAUUCCACUGAAAAGGCUUUUAUUCAACCAACAAUCACAACGAACGGCGAUUGGUUCCUUAUAACAAUUAUUGUGGGUUCGGUGUUCUGUGUUGCUGUAGUGAUCAUAGUGGCACUGAUUUGUAUCCGUCGAUAUAGAAAUUCUCGUGGCGAAACAUCUGGACAUUUAUCUCGCACGAAUUCUAUCGAUUACCUUAAUCAAGAAGAUCAGUUUAGCAGAAAAUACAAGAAUGCAAGACAUGAUAACGUUAAAAAUCACAAUAAUUAUGAUCGUGUCAGUCCGGAGAUCAGUAACAGUGUUAUACAGUUUAAAGUUGGUAGCACUGUGGCGGCAGAAGUUGUGCGGGUUCCAAGUUUUAAAACUCGUGGUGUGGCGGCGCCAUUAAAUCUUCCAGAAGAGAUUCCUCUUCAAGAAACAAAAUUUAUUAUUGAAAAUAAACGUGAUGUGUGUCACCUACCUAUUCAGCCAUCAACAGAUUCGCUGUCACGUUCCAAUCAAAUGUUUCCAUAUGAACAAAGCGAAACGGCGCGGGUGAACGGUGUAAGGUACGGGAAAUAUGCUGAUGGUUCUACGCCCGACAUUCAAUACGCGAAACCAGGGAAAAGAAACGCAUUGACAGCCAGGCUGACUUGAACUGGGACCUGCAAUUCAAUAAUGACAGCUAUUGUUUGGGUUUAUAAUCCAUAGCAGAUGAAGUCUAUCCACCUUACGAGCCACGUUACGUCAUACCUUGUGUAGGUAACCUUACGGAAGAGAAGUUCCUGUAAUAAGGUCAACAUAUACCAAAGAAGUAUCAGCUUUAAUAGUGCACGAUCUAUCAACAGAUCAGGAAUUCUAAUCGGAAAAUAUCGGAAUGUCCCGAUUUCUGCUUACCAAGAUAAUAUACAGAUUUAUAAUUUAUUCUUUCAUCGAAAUGUAAAUCACAAUAAAGACUGGACGAAAAGAUUUCCGAAAAGUCUGAUCAGUGGACUAAUAAUACUGAUCUUGCAUGUGAUAUGUCGUCGAAGAGUAGAAAGGAAAGGAGACUAUUUUGUGUUUUCAUAUUUCUCAUAAAUCUUAGAAUAAUGCUUUAAAGGUGGUGAUGAAAGGAGGAAAACAGCGUGUGUUUUCUUUAUCUGUAUGUCUGAUAACAUUUCUGCGAUAAAUCAAAUAAAACUGAACAUCCUGUUACAGUACAUCGAUACCUAGGCAGUCGUCUUCUACUUAUCGUCUUCCCUUCGUUUAUGACAGACAGAGGGAAGACUGGACACGUUCACUUUCUGAUCUUCUGUUCAACGUGAUGACGAAUGAAUAAUUUCUCCAAUGUUUAUUAAAGUUUGUAUGAGGGAGAGUGAGUAAACAGGUCAAAAAUUGAAUUAAAGCAGCUGCAAUGGAUGUAAUUGAUUUUCUAUGUGUAUCACUAGGUAACAGCACAGUCCAGCUUCAUGACAGUCUAGGUAGCAGACUCAUACACAUUUUCAAAAGCUGGUUUCAGUAGUCAAAAUGGCUGCCGUGUUUGACUGUGUACUACCGAAGAGAGCGGUCUGCUGUGCGUUUUAUGGGCAAAAUGACUCAAUGCAAAAGAUACUCAUAAAUAAAUAGUUCCUCUUUGCGGUGGGAAGUGUUUGUCGUCUAAAGCAGUUCAGACUUAAUGGCAAAUGUUUUCCUGAUGACAAAGAAGUUGAAACGGAGGUGGGUAAGUGGCUGAGACAACAAUCAAAAGACUUCUAUGCUGCGGGUUUCGACGCCCAGGUA
RNA transcript from Cryptotermes secundus, 2874 nucleotides. It is a transcript of the gene named amphoterin-induced protein 1, with no coding region annotated. The transcript is spliced from 3 exons. The record is from RefSeq and is a predicted model, not a curated record. NCBI's taxonomy places the organism in Eukaryota, Metazoa, Arthropoda, Insecta, Blattodea, Kalotermitidae.